This 352-nucleotide unclassified non-coding RNA is filed under the name soil metagenome. RNAcentral describes it as "partial contains 5.8S ribosomal RNA, internal transcribed spacer 2, and large subunit ribosomal RNA". The stretch from base 1 to 120 matches the Rfam family "5.8S ribosomal RNA", at positions 35 to 154 of the family's 154-position model. The record is from RNAcentral.
GAUGAAGAACGUAGCGAAAUGCGAUAAGUAAUGUGAAUUGCAGAAUUCAGUGAAUCAUCGAAUCUUUGACCGCACAUUGCGCCCGCCAGUAUUCUGGCGGGCAUGCCUGUUCGAGCGUCAUUUCAACCCUCAGGCCCCCAGUGCCUGGUGUUGGGGAUCGGCCCAGCCUUCCUGUAAGGCCGCCGGCCCCGAAAUCUAGUGGCGGUCUCGCUGUAGUCCUCCUCUGCGUAGUAGCACAACCUCGCAGUUGGAACGCGGCGGUGGCCAUGCCGUUAAACACCCCACUUCUGAAAGUUGACCUCGGAUCAGGUAGGAAUACCCGCUGAACUUAAGCAUAUCAAUAAGCGGAGGA